AGCAAAUCCCCAAAAACUUAGUCUCAGUUCNGAUUGCAGGCUGAAACUCGCCUGCAUGAAGUCGGAAUUGCUAGUAAUCGCAGAUCAGCAUGCUGCGGUGAAUACGUUCCCGGGCCUUGUACACACCGCCCGUCACACCAUGAGAGUCUGUAACACCCAAAGCCGGUGAGAUAACCUUUAUAGGAGUCAGCCGUCUAAGGUAGGACAGAUGAUUAGGGUGAAGUCGUAACAAGGUAUC
Molecule: ribosomal RNA, 238 nt
Filed under: uncultured bacterium
Lineage: Bacteria
Description: partial 16S ribosomal RNA
Rfam family: Bacterial small subunit ribosomal RNA
Source: RNAcentral